GAUGAACGCUGGCGGCGUGCCUAAUACAUGCAAGUCGAGCGAACGGACGAGAAGCUUGCUUCUCUGAUUUUGCGGCGGACGGGUGAGUAACACGUGGAUAACCUACCUAUAAGACUGGGAUAACUUCGGGAAACCGGAGCUAAUACCGGAUAAUAUUUUGAACCUCAUGGUUCAAAAGUGAAAGACGGUCUUGCUGUCACUUAUAGAUGGAUCCGCGCUGCAUUAGCUAGUUGGUAAGGUAACGGCUUACCAAGGCAACGAUGCAUAGCCGACCUGAGAGGGUGAACGGACACACUGGAACUGAGAAACGGUACAGACUCCUACGGGAGGAAGCAGUAGGGAAUCUUACGCAAUGGGCGAAAGCCUGACGGAGCAACGCCGCGGGAGGGAUGAAGGUCUUCGGAUCGUAAAACUCUGUUAUUAGGGAAGAACAUAUGUGUAAGUAACUGUGCACAUCUUGACGGUACCUAAUCAGAAAGCCACGGCUAACUACGUG
Molecule: ribosomal RNA, 496 nt
Filed under: uncultured bacterium
Lineage: Bacteria
Description: partial 16S ribosomal RNA
Rfam family: Bacterial small subunit ribosomal RNA
Source: RNAcentral